RNAcentral lists this long non-coding RNA (322 nucleotides) under Gossypium raimondii (Peruvian cotton). Its description in RNAcentral is "long non-coding RNA (GRAI_LNC007330)". Lineage: Eukaryota; Viridiplantae; Streptophyta; Magnoliopsida; Malvales; Malvaceae. The record is from RNAcentral.
UAAGAAAAACAGCAUCUUUGUGUUAUUACAUGUAGGAGCAUACGUGUGUGUAUAUAUCUAUUACAUCUUACUAUAUAAGACAUGUAAAAGGAGAUAGCAGUAGGUUGGUAGGUAGGGAAGGGUAGCUAAAUGAAGCAAGGUAGGCCUAGGCUGUGCCAGUAACGCCCAAGUCUUGGUUGUCAUCGUUGUUGGGAGAGGGAGAGCCAAAGAUAGGGCCACCUUCGCCAGUAGGAUCUUUCACCUUGUCCUCCAGCCUAUCAACCUGAAUGCCACCCUCAUCCUCCUUGGACCUCAGCUCCGUUUUGCUCUUAUUCUCUCCUCC